CCUACGGGAGGCAGCAGUGAGGAAUAUUGGUCAAUGGACGAGAGUCUGAACCAGCCAAGUAGCGUGAAGGAUGACUGCCCUAUGGGUUGUAAACUUCUUUUAUAUGGGAAUAAAAUGUUGUACGUGUGGGAUUUUGUAUGUCCCAUAUGAUGAAGGAUGGGCCAACUCCGUACCAGCAGCCGCGGUAAUACGGAGGAGCCGAGCGUUAUCCGGAUUUAUUGGGUUUAAAGGGCGCGUAGGUGGAUUGUUAAGUCAGUUGUGAAAGUUUGGGGCUCAACCGUAAAAUUGCAGUUGAAACUGGCAGGCUGGAGUACAGUAGAGGUGGGCGGAAUUCGUGGUGUAGCGGUGAAAUGCGUAGAUAUCACGAAGAACACCGAUGGCGAAGGCAGCUCACUGGACUGCAACUGACACUGAGGCCCGAAAGUGUGGGUAGCAAACAGGAUUAGAUACCCCUGUAGUC
This 460-nucleotide ribosomal RNA is filed under the name uncultured bacterium. Its description in RNAcentral is "partial 16S ribosomal RNA". It matches the Rfam family "Bacterial small subunit ribosomal RNA", at positions 338 to 795 of the family's 1533-position model. The record is from RNAcentral.